CAAAGACGGUGCUUACCUUAGCAACAUCUUUGAAAGUAAGCAUUCUAAGACGUUGUUGAAGUAAGCACUGUCUAUGAAUGCUUACUUUCAAAGACGUUGCUGAAGUAAGCAUCGUCUAU
RNAcentral lists this microRNA precursor (119 nucleotides) under Glycine soja. RNAcentral describes it as "MIR4374 microRNA precursor family". It matches the Rfam family "MIR4374 microRNA precursor family". Lineage: Eukaryota; Viridiplantae; Streptophyta; Magnoliopsida; Fabales; Fabaceae. The record is from Rfam by way of RNAcentral.